Long non-coding RNA from Sander lucioperca (pikeperch), 415 nucleotides. RefSeq lists it as uncharacterized. The transcript has 4 exons. The record is from RefSeq and is a predicted model, not a curated record. Lineage: Eukaryota; Metazoa; Chordata; Actinopteri; Perciformes; Percidae.
GAUGCAGUGACUGAGACUGGGAGAUGGGCCUUCCCAUUGCCUUGGGGUGUGUUCUAGAAAAAGGUCCUGAGCCUACUGGUCGACAUCUGCCAUUGCCUGAAGGAAACGCAGCCUGCCUCUUCAGCUGUCCAUAUAGAGAGCAUUGACACCCUGGAGGACUUUGAGUUACAGGAGCAACACCUCUCUGAUGCACAGGCCUUUGAUACCCUGGUGCUACAAAUUUCAAGAAUUGGUGGGUAGAACACCAAGGACUGUGUCCACAAAGUGUUGGACAGGCUCUUCAACAACAGCCUCAUGGCCAAAUUUAAUUUGAAGGGCAAGGGGAAAAGGGGGAAACGCCCUUUAGAGGGAACAAAGGUUUAUAGAGCAAUACGGUAAGCCCAAGUUUCAUGUUGACCAGUCUAUAAAUAAUAAC